GUGGACGCCAGUCUGCGUGGAGCCAACCUUGAAAUACCACCCUUUAAUGUUUGAUGUUCUAACGUGGACCCGUAAUCCGGGUUGCGGACAGUGUCUGGUGGGUAGUUUGACUGGGGCGGUCUCCUCCUAAAGAGUAACGGAGGAGCACGAAGGUUGGCUAAUCCUGGUCGGACAUCAGGAGGUUAGUGCAAUGGCAUAAGCCAGCUUGACUGCGAGCGUGACGGCGCGAGCAGGUGCGAAAGCAGGUCAUAGUGAUCCGGUGGUUCUGAAUGGAAGGGCCAUCGCUCAACGGAUAAAAGGUACUCCGGGGAUAACAGGCUGAUACCGCCCAAGAGUUCAUAUCGACGGCGGUGUUUGGCACCUCGAUGUCGGCUCAUCACAUCCUGGGGCUGAAGUAGGUCCCAAGGGUAUGGCUGUUCGCCAUUUAAAGUGGUACGCGAGCUGGGUUUAGAACGUCGUGAGACAGUUCGGUCCCUAUCUGCCGUGGGCGCUGGAGAACUGAGGGGGGCUGCUCCUAGUACGAGAGGACCGGAGUGGACGCAUCACUGGUGUUCGGGUUGUCAUGCCAAUGGCACUGCCCGGUAGCUAAAUGCGGAAGAGAUAAGUGCUGAAAGCAUCUAAGCACGAAACUUGCCCCGA
RNAcentral lists this ribosomal RNA (639 nucleotides) under Salmonella enterica subsp. enterica serovar Muenchen. RNAcentral describes it as "partial 23S ribosomal RNA". It matches the Rfam family "Bacterial large subunit ribosomal RNA", at positions 2164 to 2802 of the family's 2925-position model. Lineage: Bacteria; Pseudomonadati; Pseudomonadota; Gammaproteobacteria; Enterobacterales; Enterobacteriaceae. RNAcentral also lists the same sequence under 6 other names. The record is from RNAcentral.